GUGCCUGCCGGUGCCGUUUGAUGCUGAAAGAGAUACCACAUCUGCAAUGUGAGUCCCUCCUCUUCUCUGCCAAGGCAUGUCCUCACUAGGGCUGUUCCCCCUGAUGCAGAAAAGACAUACCGCAUACCUCAAGAUGCCUUUAUGGGCCAUUGGCCCCUGGCCUGUCUUCUCUGGGAAUAUUGUGUCUGGAUGGGUGUCAUUGACCUAGCCCUGGUUUGUGAGUGCUAGAAAGGAGGAAGGGAAGAUGAGGAGAAGGAGAAUGGAGAACACACACCUAAGAGUUUUUCCUUCAAAUUGGAAUAAGCUCCAGGGGCCCACCCGCUGCUAUCAUUAUGAUGUCACAGAAAGGAACAGCCAGAGCAGGGGGAAGAAAUUCAUGAAGUCAUCUGGCCCAAAGCCCUCUUCGAUCUUCCAUACCACCAGGAUGGCAGAGGUUGGUGCAUGUUUCUGACAACUGAGCUCUUGAAUACCCGAGACCACACAGCAGCAACACUGGGGGACGAACUCACUGAGCUGGUGCCCAGCUGCUCAUCUGGGAAGUUCUACCGGGUUCUCACUUGUAAUCAGCAAACCAGACUCCUCACCUUAGAGACUAUCAGACCAAGCUUCUCUUGGGAUCCUUGAAGAUGGCUGGACGUUGCAAGCGACGCUAUACGGAGAAAUCGCAUCCCAGAGUGACAACGGAGGUUUCCCUGGGAUGUGUUUUGUGCUGUUUGAGCAGGAGUGAAAGCAUGUGACUUUUUAAAGGGAAACCUCAGGAAGGGAGAGUGGAAGUGGAGACAUUGCCAUAAUGAUCAGAAGGCACCCUCAGUGGAUUUGGAGAGUCUUCCUGAAGCCUCUGCUGGGAGGGGAGAGGGAGAAGCCACCGUGGGCUUGUGUGACUUUGGACACCGUGUUCGAAGGGAAGCCGUGUGACCCUUUCCCACUCACUCCAGCCCAGCCUCACGGCAUCCAGCAGCCACCACUCGCCUCCUGAUUGCCGUACCUUUCUGCAGCCUGGAGAUUUGCAUUGUAAAUGCUGUUUGCUAGGCCCCUGAAAUAAUAUUAAUCACCGUAAAACAAUUACGUUGCAUAAUUUGUACAUAAAAAAGAAAGAGUGAACCUUU
Prionailurus viverrinus (fishing cat) is the source of this 1106-nucleotide long non-coding RNA. RefSeq lists it as uncharacterized. Lineage: Eukaryota; Metazoa; Chordata; Mammalia; Carnivora; Felidae. The record is from RefSeq and is a predicted model, not a curated record. The transcript has 3 exons.